RNAcentral lists this ribosomal RNA (546 nucleotides) under uncultured Bacteroidota bacterium. RNAcentral's name for it is "bacterial SSU rRNA". It matches the Rfam family "Bacterial small subunit ribosomal RNA", at positions 337 to 884 of the family's 1533-position model. The record is from RNAcentral. Lineage: Bacteria; Pseudomonadati; Bacteroidota.
UCCUACGGGAGGCAGCAGUGAGGAAUAUUGGACAAUGGGGGAAACUCUGAUCCAGCCACGCCGCGUGCUGGAAGAAGGUCCUAUGGAUUGUAAACAGCUUUUAUUAGGGAAGAAUCCCCCGGUUUUGAUGGGGGUUGACGGUACCGAAAGAAUAAGCAUCGGCUAACUCCGUGCCAGCAGCCGCGGUAAUACGGAGGGUGCAAGCGUUGUCCGGAAUCAUUGGGUGUAAAGGGUGCGUAGGCGGACAAUUAAGUCUGAGGUGAAAUCUUGCCGCUCAACGGUAAAAUUGCCUUUGAUACUGGUUUUCUUGAGUACGUGAGAAGUGGGUAGAAUAUGUAGUGUAGCGGUGAAAUGCAUAGAUAUUACAAAGAACACCAAUUGCGAAGGCGGCUGACUGGUAAGUAACUGACGCUGAGGCACGAAAGCGUGGGGAGCGAACAGGAUUAGAUACCCUGGUAGUCCACGCUGUAAACGAUGUAUGCUAGGUGUUGGCCUUCGGGUCAGUGGCGCAGCGAAAGCAAUAAGCAUCCCACCUGGGGGAGUACG